UACGUAGGGUGCAAGCGUUGUUCGGAAUUACUGGGCGUAAAGCGCACGUAGGCGGCUUUGUAAGUUAGAGGUGAAAGCCCCGGGCUCAACCUGGGAAUUGCAUUCGAGACUGAAUAGCUAGGGUACGGUAGAGGGAAGUGGAAUUUCCGGUGUAGCGGUGAAAUGCGUAGAUAUCGGAAGGAACAUCAGUGGCGAAAGCGACUUCCUGGACCAGUACCGACGUUCAGGCACGAAAGCGUGGGGAGCAAACAGG
This 253-nucleotide ribosomal RNA is filed under the name uncultured bacterium. Its description in RNAcentral is "partial 16S ribosomal RNA". It matches the Rfam family "Bacterial small subunit ribosomal RNA", at positions 524 to 776 of the family's 1533-position model. The record is from RNAcentral.